This 782-nucleotide long non-coding RNA is filed under the name Numida meleagris (helmeted guineafowl). Its description in RNAcentral is "lncRNA (ENSNMEG00000018853.1)". Lineage: Eukaryota; Metazoa; Chordata; Aves; Galliformes; Numididae. The record is from RNAcentral.
CUCAAGCAACAGUGCCUUUGUUUCUGAGGGGAUGGAAAAGAACUUAUGUUGCCUUUUCUGCUUCUGAUUUUCUUUUCCCCCCUCCAAAUUGCUUAUAAGGACUUCUUGCAGGACAUAGAUCUCAUGACUGCUAUCCUGAAAAACCUGCUAUGUACCAGAUCCACAGGUGUGUGAGGCUGGAUGAUCAUCCUUCUGGUGGAAUGCAACAGUGAAGUACUCCAAGAGAGCGGAUGAAUCUGGAAAAAGGUAGAAGAUCGUGCUAAAAUGUAAUGUCUACAGGAAAGAGGAAGCUCUGCAUACAGCCAUGAGCAAAGCACAUUGAUGUUGACAUGUCCUGGUGUUUCUUACUCAGUUUGCGUCUGAGAGCAGUGGAAGGAAGACUCAGUGCGUGAUGCUGGAGUAUUAUGCAUCAUUUUACAGGCAAAGAUCAAACAUCUUUGUGUUUGCAAGGUUGGUUAGUCAGCUUCUGUGCAGAAACAGGAAAAGUGCUGACAAACUCAACAGAAGAAGUUCUGUCUUGUGAUGAAACAGCCCAUGUUCUAAUGACUGGUGACAGCAUGGAGAACUAAAAGUCUCACUCUGCAUAAAGAGUGGAUAUUAUCACACAAUAUGAAGACAAUGCAAAUAGUAAAGUCACUCCAGAAAUGCCAAUCUCUUCACCACUGAUCUCAAGGUAAUUUUCACCUAACUUUUUCUAAUAUUUGCCAGCUUCCUACAUUCAAUUGCUUUGUCAAAGCAGUUGGUGGUGUUAUAUUCCUUGGAAAGGUACAGCAAGGAAAAAA